RNAcentral lists this ribosomal RNA (815 nucleotides) under uncultured bacterium. Its description in RNAcentral is "bacterial SSU rRNA". It matches the Rfam family "Bacterial small subunit ribosomal RNA", at positions 8 to 796 of the family's 1533-position model. The record is from RNAcentral.
AGAGUUUGAUCCUGGCUCAGAACGAACGCUGGCGGCGUGGAUAAGACAUGCAAGUUGAACGCUAAUUUCAGUGUAGCAAUAUAUUGAAGUUGGAGUAGCGCAAGGGUGCGUAACACGUGGGUAAUUUGCCCUGAAGUUGGGGAUAACUCGCUGAAAGGCGAGCUAAUACCGGAUGUGAAGUUUGGGUGGCAUCACCUGACCUUUAAAGCUGGGGAUCGUAAGACCUGGCGCUUUAGGAUAAGCCCGCGGCCUAUCAGCUAGUUGGUGAGGUAACGGCUCACCAAGGCUAAGACGGGUAGCUGGUCUGAGAGGACGACCAGCCACACUGGAACUGAGACACGGUCCAGACACCUACGGGUGGCAGCAGUCGAGAAUUUUUCUCAAUGGGCGCAAGCCUGAAGGAGCGACGCCGCGUGGGGGAUGAAGGGUUUCGAUCCGUAAACCCCUGUCAUUUGUGAACAAUGGUUAUCGUUUAAGAGAUGAUGACUUGAUAGUAAUGAAAGAGGAAGGGACGGCUAACUCUGUGCCAGCAGCCGCGGUAAUACAGAGGUCCCGAGCGUUGUUCGGAUUCACUGGGCGUAAAGGGUGCGUAGGUGGCCUGAAAAGUUUGAUGUGAAAGCUCAGGGCUUAACCCUGAAAUGGCAUUGAAUACUGUUGGGCUGGAGGUUUGGAGGGGGGACUGGAAUUCUUGGUGUAGCAGUGAAAUGCGUAGAUAUCAAGAGGAACACCAGUGGCGAAGGCGAGUCCCUGGACAACACCUGACACUGAGGCACGAAAGCUAGGGGAGCAAACAGGAUUAGAUACCCUAGUAGUCC